UACAGAGGUCUCAAGCGUUGUUCGGAUUCAUUGGGCGUAAAGGGUGCGUAGGUGGCGCCGUAAGUCGGGUGUGAAAUUUCGGAGCUUAACUCCGAAACUGCAUUCGAUACUGCGGUGCUUGAGGACUGGAGAGGAGACUGGAAUUCAUGGUGUAGCAGUGAAAUGCGUAGAGAUCAUGAGGAAGACCAGUGGCGAAGGCGGGUCUCUGGACAGUUCCUGACACUGAGGCACGAAGGCCAGGGGAGCAAACGGGAUUAGAACCGUAC
This 266-nucleotide ribosomal RNA is filed under the name uncultured bacterium. RNAcentral's name for it is "partial 16S ribosomal RNA". It matches the Rfam family "Bacterial small subunit ribosomal RNA", at positions 524 to 785 of the family's 1533-position model. The record is from RNAcentral.